CAUGAGCCAGUGAGGAAGAUAAGAUCAUUCAGAACUUAGUGUGAAUCAAAAUUUUAAAAAUAUUUGCCAUAUUCUUUGAUUUUUAGAGGGAAAAAAACCUGACAAAGGUGGGGAAGAUGGGAAGAAGAAGGGAAAGGGAAAGAAAGUGAGGAGGAACAGGAGGAAGAAGAGGAGGAAGAACAAGAGCAAGAAGAAGGAAGAGGAAAAGAAACAACAUGGUUCACCACCAUAGCCCUAUGAGCUGAGUCCACUGGAACUGAAGACUCCCAAACUCAAGAGAUCUACUGGCCUCAACUGGGAUCAUAGGCUUCUACCAUCAUAUUCAUUACUUCUAACAGCACAGUCUUCCUACUAUCCUUGAGGAGAACUGCAUUUGAGAUGUUUUCAGAGACUGAAUUCCUGGUUCCCAGCCCCGGAGCAUCGGUGGAAGAACAAUGGUAAAUCCUUGGGGGUCACUGAAAGUGUAAGUCGGAUAAAUCUAUUCCUAUUCAAUUUGGGGUCCA
Non-coding RNA from Monodelphis domestica (gray short-tailed opossum), 503 nucleotides. The record is from RefSeq and is a predicted model, not a curated record. NCBI's taxonomy places the organism in Eukaryota, Metazoa, Chordata, Mammalia, Didelphimorphia, Didelphidae.